RNAcentral lists this non-coding RNA (83 nucleotides) under Imtechella halotolerans K1. RNAcentral also lists the same sequence under 1 other name. Lineage: Bacteria; Pseudomonadati; Bacteroidota; Flavobacteriia; Flavobacteriales; Flavobacteriaceae. The record is from RNAcentral.
CCUCAUGCCACUGUCGUUUUUUAACGAUGGGAAGGCCGCAACUAGACGCAAGCCAGGAGACCUGCCAUUUUCAAACAAAUGAU